This 685-nucleotide ribosomal RNA is filed under the name uncultured archaeon. RNAcentral describes it as "bacterial SSU rRNA". It matches the Rfam family "Archaeal small subunit ribosomal RNA", at positions 336 to 1021 of the family's 1478-position model. The record is from RNAcentral.
CAGGCGCGAAAACUUUACAAUGCCGGCAACGGCGAUAAGGGGACCUCGAGUGCCAGGUUACAAAUCUGGCUGUCGUGAUGCCUAAAAAGCAUUGCAUAGCAAGGGCCGGGCAAGACCGGUGCCAGCCGCCGCGGUAACACCGGCGGCUCGAGUGGUAACCGUUAUUAUUGGGUCUAAAGGGUCUGUAGCCGGCCGGAUAAGUCUCUUGAGAAAUCCAGCAGCUCAACUGUUGGGCUUUCAGGAGAUACUGUCUGGCUCGAGGCCGGGAGAGGUGAGAGGUACUUCAGGGGUAGGGGUGAAAUCUUGUAAUCCUUGAAGGACCACCAGUGGCGAAGGCGUCUCACCAGAACGGACCUGACGGCAAGGGACGAAAGCUAGGGGCACGAACCGGAUUAGAUACCCGGGUAGUCCUAGCCGUAAACGAUACUCGCUAGGUGUCGGCCACGGUGCGACCGUUGUCGGUGCCGUAGGGAAGCCGUGAAGCGAGCCACCUGGGAAGUACGGCCGCAAGGCUGAAACUUAAAGGAAUUGGCGGGGGAGCACCACAACGGGUGGAGCUUGCGGUUUAAUUGGAUUCAACGCCGGAAAUCUUACCGGGACCGACAGCAAUAUGAAGGCCAGGCUGAAGACUUUGCCGGAUUAGCUGAGAGGUGGUGCAUGGCCGUCGUCAGUUCGUACUGUGAAG